UAAGAAAAUUGAUGGGAACAAAAUCACC
RNAcentral lists this non-coding RNA (28 nucleotides) under Mus musculus (house mouse). Lineage: Eukaryota; Metazoa; Chordata; Mammalia; Rodentia; Muridae. The record is from RNAcentral.